UACAGAGGUGGCAAGCGUUGCUCGGUAUCACUGGGCUUAAAGGGCGCGUAGGCGGCAUGCCAAGCGUGUGGUGAAAGCCCGGGGCUCAACCCCGGGUCGGCCGUGCGGACUGGCGUGCUCGAGCACUGUAGGGGCGGGUGGAAUUCCGGGUGUAGCGGUGGAAUGCGUAGAGAUCCGGAAGAACACCGGUGGCGAAGGCGGCCCGCUGGGCAGGAAGGCUCGCAAGAGCCGGCUGACGCUGAGGCGCGACAGCGUGGGGAGCAAACAGG
This 269-nucleotide ribosomal RNA is filed under the name uncultured bacterium. RNAcentral describes it as "partial 16S ribosomal RNA". It matches the Rfam family "Bacterial small subunit ribosomal RNA", at positions 524 to 776 of the family's 1533-position model. The record is from RNAcentral.